RNAcentral lists this ribosomal RNA (555 nucleotides) under Trichophyton mentagrophytes. RNAcentral describes it as "eukaryotic LSU rRNA". It matches the Rfam family "Eukaryotic large subunit ribosomal RNA", at positions 59 to 626 of the family's 3401-position model. Lineage: Eukaryota; Fungi; Ascomycota; Eurotiomycetes; Onygenales; Arthrodermataceae. The record is from RNAcentral.
AAGAAACCAACAGGGAUUGCCCCAGUAACGGCGAGUGAAGCGGCAAGAGCUCAAAUUUGAAAUCUGGCCUCCCCCGGGGGCCCGAGUUGUAAUUUGCAGAGGAUGCUUCGGGUGCGGCCGCCGUCUAAGUUCCUUGGAACAGGACGUCAGAGAGGGUGAGAAUCCCGUCUUGGGCGGGCGGUCCGCGCCCGUGUGAAGCUCCUUCGACGAGUCGAGUUGUUUGGGAAUGCAGCUCUAAGCGGGUGGUAAAUUUCAUCUAAAGCUAAAUAUUGGCCGGAGACCGAUAGCGCACAAGUAGAGUGAUCGAAAGGUUAAAAGCACCUUGAAAAGGGAGUUAAACAGCACGUGAAAUUGUUGAAAGGGAAGCGCUUGCGGCCAGACUCGGGGGCGGGGUUCAGCGGGUGCUCGUCGCCCGUGUAUUCCUCGUCUCCCGGGCCAGCAUCAGUUUCGACGGCCGGUCAAAGGCCCCCGGAAUGUGUCGUCUCUCGGGACGUCUUAUAGCCGGGGGUGCAAUGCGGCCCGUCGGGACUGAGGAACGCGCUCCGGCUCGGAUGC